Molecule: ribosomal RNA, 253 nt
Filed under: uncultured bacterium
Lineage: Bacteria
Description: partial 16S ribosomal RNA
Rfam family: Bacterial small subunit ribosomal RNA
Source: RNAcentral
UACAGAGGGUGCAAGCGUUGUUCGGAAUUACUGGGCGUAAAGCGCACGUAGGCGGCGAUUCAAGUCAGAGGUGAAAGCCCGGGGCUCAACCCCGGAACUGCCUUUGAAACUAGAUCGCUAGAAUCUUGGAGAGGCGAGUGGAAUUCCGAGUGUAGAGGUGAAAUUCGUAGAUAUUCGGAAGAACACCAGUGGCGAAGGCGACUCGCUGGACAAGUAUUGACGCUGAGGUGCGAAAGCGUGGGGAGCAAACAGG